Molecule: long non-coding RNA, 1534 nt
Organism: Cygnus olor (mute swan)
Lineage: Eukaryota; Metazoa; Chordata; Aves; Anseriformes; Anatidae
Exons: 3
Source: RefSeq, a predicted model, not a curated record
GCUUGCUGUCUGUUUUAACUUGGCCUUUUCUCCCUUUACAAAGACAGAAAUCAAACAUUAAGAAAUGAGAAGAUGGUGCAAGAAUGAUACAACAAUCAAUCAAGUGCUUGCCAAAGCAGGAGUGGCUGACUCUAAGUGACACUGAGAAAACAGAAGCAACUUCCUUCCUAGAUUAAAGGAACAGUGUGAUUGGCAUGUCUAAGCAGCAGGAAAACACUAGACAGCAGGAUAAUUCCACAAGGAAAGAGGAGAAAAGGAUUCUCCCACCCAUCUAAUGCAAGAACAAAGGGAUAAGAUUUACUGGGGAGACUUCAAGUGAAAGUGCUUCUGUGUCCUGCAUUUCAUCCUCCACUGAGCUUCAGCUACCAAAGAAACACAUAGAUGACGGCACAUCUGUUAAGAACACAGCAAGAACAAUCUUUCUGCUUUCUCAUCUCAACCACUUCAACAGAGCCAAAUCCUCUCAUCUUGCUUCAUUACAUGUUACUUGCAUGCUGUAAUCAAAUGUAACAAACUGAUGUCCAAGGUACCUCUUGAGUGUACAAUGCACACAGAUUCUCAGAGCUGGAAAUGCUUUUUGUUAUGUCUGACAAGUGGUCUUUGACAAGCCAUGUGUGCAGCGAGUGAUGCAAGGCACUGGCAUAGUCACUGAAUAAUGUGGAAGCAGCCAUGGGGUUGUGCUCUUUGAGUUGAGGGUUCAGGAUCCCCUUGGCUUCCCAGGUAAGCUCAUGGAGAACUUCAGUCUGGAAAUCUGAUUUAAAGUGACCAGGCUGAUAGUGCUCAACAGAACUGCAGCAAAAUAGAUAAUGUAGCAAGCGUAGGGUGAAGUCUCUGAAGCCAAGUCUGUAUUAAGCUAUUUUAAAAAAUAAUGAAAAAUCAAUACUACUUCCUGUCUUCAUUUGCUAUCAGGUGAGAAUUUGGUGUUGCUUGUAAUUUUUUCUCAGUGGCUUAGAAGCUUAACUUCUAUCUCAAAAAUGAGCUUGAAUAUUUGGGGAAUGAAGUGAUAUUUAUGGGGCCUAGUAGUUCUCUGCCUAUAUGAUUCUUCCAUAGGAUUCAACAAGGGACUGUUCAAGGUGCUUCUUGGUUAAAUAAAAUCUUCUGGAGCAGUGUUCUGCAUUUCAUGCGCAAAGCUAGAGCUGGCUACCUAAAACCUUUCAUUCUGGAGAAUUUGGGGGCAUUGACAAGUCCCCUAGGUCCUGAGGACAAGGGUAGGCCCAUGGGACCACAGAGGCCUGUAGAGGUAGGCCCGUAGAGGCCCAUAUACCUGUGGAAGAGUUGGUGGCUUACUCAGAUCUCAGGCUGAGUGGAUCCUGCUGUUUGGUGUCAGGUCCCUGCUAAUUCUCCAGUCGCAGCAAAGCCCAGAAGAGGUCUGAACAAAGCCCUGGCCGUGAAAUAAACCUGGUAUGUGCAAACCGGGAGUGUUUGGGAGACAAAGGGAAGGGACGUGGCCGAAUUGCAUUCCCCUGUAGUGAAGAAGGAAAGAUGUAUUAUCAAAAAUGGUUUUUCUUUGUCUCGCAUAGCUACAAUAAAAAUG